GACGAACGCUGGCGGCGUGCCUAAUACAUGCAAGUCGAACGCAAAACUUUCACCGAAUGCUUGCAUUCACGAAAGUUUUGAGUGGCGAACGGGUGAGUAACACGUGGGUAACCUGCCCAGAAGAGGGGGAUAACACUUGGAAACAGGUGCUAAUACCGCAUAAUAACAAAAACCGCAUGGUUUUUGUUUGAAAGAUGGUUUUGCUAUCACUUCUGGAUGGACCCGCGGCGUAUUAGCUAGUUGGUAAGGUAAAGUCUUACCAAGGCAAUGAUACGGAGCCGAACUGAGAGGUUGAUCGGCCACAUAGGGACUGAGACACGGCCCAAACUCCUACGGGAGGCAGCAGUAGGGAAUCUUCCACAAUGGACGAAAGUCUGAUGGAGCAACGCCGCGUGAGUGAAGAAGGUUUUCGGAUCGUAAAACUCUGUUGUUAGAGAAGAACGUGUGUGAGAGUAACUGCUCAUGCAGUGACGGUAUCUAACCAGAAAGCCACGGCUAACUACGUGCCAGCCGCCGCCGUAA
RNAcentral lists this ribosomal RNA (522 nucleotides) under uncultured bacterium. RNAcentral describes it as "partial 16S ribosomal RNA". It matches the Rfam family "Bacterial small subunit ribosomal RNA", at positions 28 to 523 of the family's 1533-position model. The record is from RNAcentral.